Molecule: long non-coding RNA, 1452 nt
Organism: Camelus dromedarius (Arabian camel)
Lineage: Eukaryota; Metazoa; Chordata; Mammalia; Artiodactyla; Camelidae
Exons: 6
Source: RefSeq, a predicted model, not a curated record
AGUGUCCUUUCGGGGGCCGCGGUGACAGAGUUGAGACUGGACAUAGAGAAGCAAAUGUCUCGGUGUAGUAAAAUAAGGAUGAGUGCACCUAUUCCUCGGAGUUUUCUAAGGACUGAUGGAUUCAUAUGUCUGACAGUGCCUAGGACAUAACACACCUGUGCCAGGCACCUGCCCGUAGCUGUGUAAGAGACUGUUACUUGGGCUCUUCUCCAUAACUGGCCAGUAACAUCAGGAUUGAAGCCCACGCGGUCACCUUGCCUUGGGGGAUGCCGACUUCGCCCACAGUGCCCCGUGUCACCUGAGAUCACCCGCAGCUCUUCUGUGAGUCCCUGCUGAACUCAGCCUUGCGACCGUGCCCAUCCGUGAACCUGACGUGUAAGCGAAGCCAUCUCAGACCCAUCAGACCAGCCCAUCCGCCAAACGAAUUCCUCCAGCACGUCCGGUGUCUCUUUAGAGGAGACGGCAGCACACCUGAGACUGGAGCUGAGAGUCUCCGAAUAUCGGGAAGCAGAUGGUUUUUCCAGGCCUGUGGACACUUCCCCCAAGGUUUAAGAUCCACUGUGACAGUUUUCUUGAUCCUCCCUCACAUCACUUCCUAAGCAGGGAAAAAUGAAAAGGGACCAGUUCCCAGUGACUCGUCUCGGACUUCCAGGAUCAAACAAGGACAGAUGACAACUUAAUGGAAAAGAAAUGGAGAUAAAAAUAGGAGGGUUUCUCUCAGCCUGGGUCCUGUCAUGAAGCUGAUUGCCCAGAUCCUUCCAGAAGAAAUGCUGAUAAGGAAAUGUCUGGAAAAGCCUCAAGCAGAUAAAACUCCAUUACUCCUCAGGUGCUGGGCUCUGCUGGCCUUGGACUCUGAAACCAUCCCCCUUCCUCGGAGGGCGGACCCGCGACUUGCACUUGACUCUUCAGGUGGGGGAGGGCUGGCCAUGCACCACUGAUUCCAGGCCCUCUCCUGGAUUUUCAGACUCUGGUUCCUUCAGCUUGCCUGCUUUUGCCUCAUGGUGCUCACAACCUGUCAUCUUUUUUUUUAUGAGAACCAGUAUGAAGUCGUAAAGAGCUGAAUCUCAACUCCGCUGGCAAGUUACUGCAUCUCCUGGUGCCCGGUUUCCUCAUCUAGCAUUUCUUUUUGUAAAUUAACGGAGCACUGUCUCCGUCCUAGGCACUGGGCACGAUGUUGGAGGAAAGUGUCACCUCCUUAUAGGUUUGUGGUGAAGAUUAAAUAAGGCGAUUCAGUGCAACACCUAACAAGUGGUAGAAUGAGUAGUCAUAGCUGUCAGCGAAUACAGUUGUUCUCACUGUUGUUAUUUCCAUGUCUGUUGGAGAAGAGCGGGGUUUGAAAGGCCCUUGGUAGCCUCUGACCCUCGGGCCAUCACAGAGAACCCUCUGCGCUUUCCACUGGGUCAGGGCUGCUGUCUUCCUAGACUUCUCUUUGGAACCACAGCCCAUUCACUU